UCGGGAAUUUUGCGCAAUGGGCGACAGCCUGACGCAGCGACGCCGCGUGGGGGAUGAAGGUCUUCGGAUUGUAAACCCCUUUCGGCAGGGAAGAUGGAACGGGUAACCGUUCGGACGGUACCUGCAGAAGCAGCCACGGCUAACUUCGUGCCAGCAGCCGCGGUAAUACGAAGGUGGCAAGCGUUGUUCGGAUUUACUGGGCGUACAGGGAGCGUAGGCGGUUGGGUAAGCCCUCCGUGAAAUCUCCGGGCCUAACCCGGAAAGUGCGGAGGGGACUGCUCGGCUAGAGGAUGGGAGAGGAGCGCGGAAUUCCCGGUGUAGCGGUGAAAUGCGUAGAGAUCGGGAGGAAGGCCGGUGGCGAAGGCGGCGCUCUGGAACAUUUCUGACGCUGAGGCUCGAAAGCGUGGGGAGCAAACAGGAUUAGAUACCCUAGUAGUCCCUGAGCGGGCUGGCAAGGCGCAU
This 462-nucleotide ribosomal RNA is filed under the name uncultured bacterium. RNAcentral describes it as "bacterial SSU rRNA". It matches the Rfam family "Bacterial small subunit ribosomal RNA", at positions 355 to 825 of the family's 1533-position model. The record is from RNAcentral.